Molecule: non-coding RNA, 153 nt
Organism: Amborella trichopoda
Lineage: Eukaryota; Viridiplantae; Streptophyta; Magnoliopsida; Amborellales; Amborellaceae
Source: Rfam
GGGUGCGGUCAUACUUGCUCUAGUGCACCGGAUCCUAUAUGAACUCCGAAGUUAAGCGUGCUUGAGUAAAAGUAGUACUCCAAAGUUAAGCGUGCUUGGGCAAGAGUAGUAUUAGGAUGGGUGACGUACUGGGAAGUCCUUGUGUCACACCCC